RNAcentral lists this ribosomal RNA (475 nucleotides) under uncultured bacterium. RNAcentral's name for it is "bacterial SSU rRNA". It matches the Rfam family "Bacterial small subunit ribosomal RNA", at positions 29 to 524 of the family's 1533-position model. The record is from RNAcentral.
AACUAACGCUGGCGGCGCGCCUAAUACAUGCAAGUCGAACGAUGUAGCAAUACAUAGUGGCGCACGGGAGAGUAACACGUGGAUAAUCUCCCCUCGAGAGAGGAAUAACUAGUCGAAAGAUUGGCUAAUACUUCAUAAGACCACAGAAACUAAUGUUUCAGGGGUAAAAGUCGUAAGACGCUUGAGGAUGAGUCUGCGUCCCAUUAGCUAGUUGGUGAGGUAACGGCUCACCAAGGCGACGAUGGGUAGCUGGUCUGAGAGGAUGAUCAGCCUCACUGGAACUGACACACGGUCCAGACUCCUACGGGAGGCAGCAGUAGGGAAUAUUGCACAAUGGGCGAAAGCCUGAUGCAGCGACGCCGCGUGAGUGAUGAAAGGCCUUCGGUCGUAAAGCUCUGUCGUAUGGGACUAACACAAUGAAGGUACCGAUGCAAGAAAGGAAUCGGCUAAACUUCGUGCCAGCAGCCGCGGUAAU